Camelus dromedarius (Arabian camel) is the source of this 9201-nucleotide long non-coding RNA. RefSeq lists it as uncharacterized. Lineage: Eukaryota; Metazoa; Chordata; Mammalia; Artiodactyla; Camelidae. The transcript has 7 exons. The record is from RefSeq and is a predicted model, not a curated record.
GAGAAUAUAUGUAAAUCCUUACUAGAAUUUAAUGUAUUACUCAGAACAGUGUCUUGCAAGUAUAAUAUCCAUCAUUUUGAGAGUGUUUGCUAUUUGCUAGGCAAGUAAGUGUUUGUUAGCGGUUUUAUCAUUAUUUGUUUAUUUAUUCAAAAGAAAAUGAUGACACUGUGAUCACUUACUUGUCAAUAAGCACUGGCAGUAGUGUAUUAAACAGUGUUAGAGCAGGCAGGCAUUUAGAUUGCAAGCGAUGUAAUAUUAGGUCUUUCAGUGAUGACGAAUGCUUAGCUGAAGGUUUGUGAUUAUUAGUCAUUUAACAGCUUUUCACGUGCUUUGGUUCUAAUUUACUUUAUCUUUUAAGAAAAUAAAAUACACAGGAAAUUCCCUUUAAAAUAAAAAUCCAACUUUUUAUGAAAUUGGGGGAAAUUUUUAGAUAAUAGGUCAGUUGUCUUGCAUUUAGUUGAACAAGGCAAUUUUGCUGUAUAGGACCAGCAUUUUGCUCCUCAUUAUGGUAAAUAAUUUGGCAAUUUUGGGACAUCUAUCUCAACCAUUAAUUUUCACGGUUUCCGCAAGAAAGCCAACAUUAUCAACUUUCAUAAUAAAGAGACCAUACGGCAGAAAGUCUUAGUAAUCUGUCCAUUGUUUCAAAUCAAACAGAGAGGCAGCGACUUUCAUUCCAGUAAGAUGGUUAUCCUCUUUCUUUUCUUUGUUAACAUUGGUGAAAUAAGAAUAGUGCACCCCCAGAUUUUUUCCUUAACACAGUUAUCUGAAUGGCUAGGGAGAAAAACACAUCUAAGUGUUGAAUUAACUCAUCUUCCCUUGCCUAGCAGUCUGGCUGGGGUGAGGCACGUCUGUCAGCAGAACGACCCCACAAAAGUGUAUUGAGUAUCUGCUCUGUACCAGGAGCUGGAGCUGUCAAGCCAACACCUUAUGAUCGGUUUUUAGGUUGGCAUAGAAAUUCUAGGUUUUGCAGCAACUUCAGAGCAUUAGAGAUGAGUUUUCAAUGGGUGGACCUACAUGUAAUGGAGGUAUGAGGGAACAGAGAGGAAUUCCUGAAUUGGGUUAUUAGUGGUGAAUAUGGGCAGACACGUGUCUACAGGUGGGGGAAAAGGAACAGAAAUGAGUGGCACUUUGUUAUACAAUUAAAAUAUUAAAAACAUUCCUAUUAUAAUACAUCUCUUAAGCAGCUACUAAGUGCCCUUUUUUCUAGUAGGCACUGUGAGGUACCAAGUGCAUACAGUUUUGUAUGUGAAAUGGUUUCCUUGGUUACAUGCAAUCUUGACAACUGAUUUGAAUUUAAACUCAUGAGCACCAUCUAAUGGUGUUUCCCUAAUAAAUCCACUUUCCUAAUCUCUAUCCAGUUACUAGGUUCUUUAUAAUCCAGUGCUUAUGGACACUGUCACUCAAAUGUCUGCAUGGCAACCUAAUUGUAGGAAACAGCCUAGCCUUGUAGUCAGACAACGUGAUCUCAAACUUGGCUUCCCCAUUUCUUAGCUCUGUCUCCUCAAGUAAGUUAAAUAACCCUGAUCUCAAAAAAUAUAGUGAAUAAUAGGUACCCCAUCUGGUUGCUAUCAGAAUUAAUUGGAAUGCACACAUAGUGAGCCCAGAAAGUGUCAGAAAAAAGCGUCCAGGACAGGAGACAGUAUUCAGGAAUUCUGCUAACUUGGUAAAAAUCUGUAAAGCCUACCUAAAUGUUUCAACAUGAAAUUCAAGGUGUACUGAUGGGAUUUUAUUUUGAAAUAAAUAUUUUCUUGGAGCAGAGACCCCAGAAAUAAAAGCUGUGAUAAAAAUCCAGAGGAAGAUGCAGGGCAGUUAGAAAGCAGUCAGCUUUCUGUUUGGGAUCAGUGAGAAAUGGGCCUUGCGGUCUCUUGCACAUGGUGCUUUUUGCUGAAGAAAUACGUAACAUAAAAAUCAUCCUGAUUAAGGCGGGUAUUUUGCUUCCCUGAGGUGGCUCUUGGGCAGAAUGGUUUUGAGUGGACUCGGAAGCCCUGAAUUCUAAGGAGAUGAAGCCAGUGGAAAUAGGCCUGACAGGGCACUGGUUAUCUCUCUGUAUCCAGCGUGACAAGCCUUAUUCACAGUAAUGCAAUUUCUGAUGACAUUUCUUUUUUUCAAGUUUUACUUUAAAUUGAUUUAAGUAACCAGGUGAUAAUUCUGGGCAUGAGCUGAGAGCUCUUCCUAUCCAGCAAGAAAAAAUAUAAAAGCUUAGCUGCAGCUGAUGUUCAGCUUAGGGAUUUAGGGAAAAUCUUGACACAUUGCUUCUGAGGAUGACUUCCGCCCCAGAACAGCCAGUAUCUGUGUGGUCACAUUUGAGUGCAUGCUCUUUAACAUUUGGUGUUAAAGAACAUUUAAAAAUGUUCUUUAACACCAGCUUCUCCUCGUGUAGAAGUUGUUUGAAAUCAAGAGAGCUCGUGAUUUCCCUCACCUCCCCUGAGUCUUCCUUAAGGGAAAGGGGAUCGUUUACUCUUCACCGUCUGCUGCUGCUUCUGCUGGAAGGUCUGCUGCCUGCCUUCUUCCUGAUAAACAAAGGGGGAUUGUAUUGACCUAUUCAUUUUUAAAGAGACUUACAAAGGCGUUAAACAAUCAAACCUCAGUGUCCAAUCUGAGGCGCUCUUUUUCCUGAGAAAAACCUGAAGGCAGUAUUCACAUGAGACAUGCUCACUCCAAAUGCAGACAGUAGUGCCUUCCCUGCUGGUUAUUUACCAGGUUAGUAGGCUUCUUGAAGACUGUUUACCAUGCUGGGUGCUUUCCAUGACUAUCUUUCUUCUCCAUUUCCCUUUUUUGUUUCAAUAUUUUAAAUUUUAUAAUGGCUUAUAUUUAUUUUAUAUAUGUCUUAAAUUCUUUGGAGAAAAGCUAAUUUAAAAAUCUCAUCAAAAAAUUUAAAUGCUUACAGAGGUAGUCACAGAGGCAAAGGAAUAACUUGCUCAAAUAUUGUUUCUUUUGACCGAUGUCUUCCUUUCAAUGAUAAUGACAUUUUUUGACAGUCAAGGUCUGUCAUUGUAAGCACCUAAGAGUAAAGUCUUUAUUGUUAAACUUUAUUUCUCUUUGAUGUGUGAUGCAUUAUGUGAGGAAGACCAUGGCUUUUCUUCUUCAUUACCUUUCUAGUGUAGAAUAUAGACCAUUCACCUCAAGGCAACUAUAUGAUGAAAGACAGUUAAUCACUUAUCAAAGACUCACUUCAGUUUGUAAUUCCUCUAUGUUUCAACAAAAAGUACAUCAUAUUCUUAAAUUUCCUUACUUACUACUUAGUAUGAAAUCUUAAACAAGGAAAUAAUUGUACAAAGAAGUUGUGUCAUUAGCUUAUUUUAAAAAGCAAUUUUAUUUUGGAAGCUACUGAUAAUUUUAAACAGGAAAUGGCCUCAUCUGCUUACCUACCUUUAUCUCAUUUUUCUGAACUUUAUUCUUCCAUUUUAUAUUUUUAUUUUACCAAAGCAAGACCCCUAAGAAGCCAUCAAAUUUUGCACUACAAUUCUUAUCUGUAAAGAAAGAAAUUAUAUCCAUAAAAGCAUGAAUAAUUUUACUGUUACAUGUGAAGAGUGACUACUAUAUUUAUUGAAAGAACCAAUUACAUAUCACUGACUUCCUUCUAGCUACAAUUUACCUUUCAAAAAGUGAUGACUUACUGUCUUCUAGAAAUAGAAAAGGAGAAAUGCCAAAAGACAGUGCUAGAGUAAGUCAUCUUUAUAGACUUCCUUUCUAAUUAACAAAUAAAUCAGAAUUAAAAGUGAUUUUUUCAUCAUGACAUAACAUUAGAAAGCCUGGCAGUGUUGGAAUAAAUUCAUCUUAAAUGCAAUUAGAAAGAAAAUGUAAAUGGAAGGAAAUUGUUGAGGUUAACACCCAGGGUUGAAGUUAGGUAGUGAUGUAGAAAAGCAAUUUAGCAUCAAGAGAGGCAAACUCCAGUAGGGAUCUGUGGCCCUGGUUCUACUUAACAGACAUGUGUACCUUUGUAAAAUUAUUUAAUCCCUGUGAGCCUCCAGCUUCCCCAUCUGUAAACCUCUAUCAGAGUUGUUUUGGGAUAAAUACUUACUUUUUUUAAAAGUAAAAAUAAAAGCCUUGAAAAUUAUAACACCUAAAGAAAUUAAAAUGACUUAUUUAUGUCACGAUAAUGUUCUCUUUUUGUGUAUUUUUUAUAAGUAAAAUGGAAAUUUUAAUACUGUAGCUAACAGGUACAAUUUCCUCAGAACAGUUGACUAGCUCAUAUCAUCAUAUUGCCUUAUCUGCUGUCUUUCUGGAAUUUUCCUUUACAAAAUUUAAUUCCAUUACAGCUCUCUAAAAUUGCUACUCUGUUAUCAUAAUCCUCAUUAGCUCAUAAUUGCCCUUCCUUCUCCAUCUUUCUUUUUGCUGGAGACUAAUGCAGAAUUACAGUUUAUUAAUUGUGCCGUUAUAAGACAUUCUUGUUAGUUUGAUGGCUUCAUGCAUUUAUCUUUGAACCUCCCCUUUUCUGAUUUUCUUCUGUGAUCUAGUUACAUUAAUUUCUUAUUGCCUUCAUCUUUUUUAUGUUAUAAUUUUUAUACAGCUGAAGCAAAUUUAUUUUUUAAAGACCUGGGUAUAUCUGUACCUAAAUGGAUCAUAAAAACCUUAUAUGCUACGGUUUUUUAGAUCAGGGAUAAUCAUCUUAAAUAGCAUUCAUAACAUUCCAAAGGGGAUUUAAGGACUGAGUAAAAAGGAAGAUUUCAGGAUGUGACCUGCACCCAAAAUUCAGAUUGAAACUGAAAUAGCGUGUUGACAAAACAGCAGAGAGAAAAAUCAUCAGAGAGGGGAAAAAAUCCAACAGUCAAUCAAUUGCCUAUUCUGAGUCGUGAAGACUUUACAGCUGGAAUAUUAGCCAGAUCGCUUCCUUUGAGCCACGCUGUUGCUGCUGCUGUUUUUGUGUGGUCUUUGGGUUUGGCACUGCUUUCAUACAUAAACCGGAAAGGAAGAGAAGGCUCUGCCCAGAGAAGUAAUGAAUUAAGGAGUGAUCAAACAAAUUAUAGUUAGUCUUUACAAAACACUUCAAGUUAUUUUACGGAUAUUAACUGCUUUAUUUUUCAAAAAAAAAAAAUUCUAUGAAGACUUUUGGUUGAUAGAUCGUUUGUUUUUGGACUGUUUCCCCCUACUUAGCCAUGGUGGUAUCUUGACUUUCCAGGAUUCCCAGUAGAUGGAAGACUAGGGCAUGCAUUGACACCUCUUCUCCCUGACACUUUUGUGAAUUUCUUGGUAAAUGUCCACUCCCAAACUUUCUGGCUUUCCUACCGACCCCUUGCCAGUGGCCCUACCAAGUAUCUCUAGGUUUGGGGGCAACUUUGAAGGUUUUAAGAUAAAUAUUUGCUUGCUUUCCACACCCACUUAUUUUUUUCCUUGCUUUAUUUUACAAGUAACAUAGUUUUUUUUCCCUGAAAAUCUAAUAAAAGUCAAAUGUGUCUGCCACUGUAAAUCCUGUGAAAUGACUUGAUUUAAAUGAAUUAUGGCAGCUAGUUCUUUAUAAGCCUGAACUAAAUAUUCUCAUUGGGUAGCCGUCUUAUGAUUUAUGUUUACAUCUUUAUCUAGGAAGUAUCUUCCUAGAUCCCAAAGAUCCUUGUAAAGGACUAUUAUCAUAGAUGCCUUUGCUUCUAUAUUUUACCAUCAAAACUAGGCUUUUAUUAGGGUCUUUUUGGACCAGGCUUUAGUGAAGAAAAUCAGUUCAUUCCACUUACUCUUUGAAUCAACUUCCAAACUGUAUGGUAAUAGGGAGGAGAAAGUGUUUUGUUGUUGUUAUUACAAAUAAUCACCAACAUUUACAUAACAUUGUAUAGUUUUGGAUGUGCUGGAACAUGAAUUACCUCAUUAAAUGAGACACAUGAAGAAAUUCAGUGAAUAAUGUCAGCUCCUGGAUGAGAUGGUUUACUUUUCCCUUCUCAUCACCAGACUGGAGCGUGUCUGCUGGAUUCACAUUCAUUAUCUGUGAGGAUUCUAAAGGCAGCUGCAGGGGAGUAUGAAGUGAAGAGGAAUGACAUGCUGUCAUGCUGUGUGAUCAGGAAGCAGAAUGUGGUUUUGGCAACAUGAGAAAUUACAGGACGGCGAUAGAUACACUGAAGCAAGAAGGUCAAGAGGAUCCAUCUAUUGGUGGAAAUUAAAUCAUGCAGGGAAACUUCGGGGAGGCUGUCUCACAGGGGCCUUAUCCAUCUAAAGUCAAGAUGGUCACCAGGGCAGCAGUUCUCUCUGGCGGCCCUGCGGAGGAGCCUGUUUCCCAGCUCAUUCAUGUCAUCGGCCAAAGUCGGCUCCUUGAGGCUGCAGGACCGAGAGCUCCGUUCCCACACUGGCUGUCAGCAGCAGGCCGCCCUUCGCUUCUCGAGGCCUCUGUCGAGUUCAUGCAUAAGGCCACCGUAUCAGACCCUCUCACACUUGGGGUCUCCAGUUUCCCCUGUUGCCGUUCCUGUUCUGCCUCCCUCUUCCACCACAUCUCUCUGACUCUGGCCAGGGAACAUUCUCUGCUUUCAAGGGAUCGUGCGGUUAGAGUGGCCCCACCUGCAUAGUGCAGGUUACUCCCUUGUUUUGAGGCCUGUAGCCUCAAUGACAUCUUCCAAGUCCCUCUUUCCAUGUAACGUAAUGUACUCCCUGGUCCCAGGGACUAGGGCAGGGACAUCCCAGAGAACCGUGCCUCAGCCUGCCGUGUGGGGAGAUGAGUUCACCCGUGCCUUCAGCUCCACAGUAACUGCGCCAGGUUCUAGAGUGCAGAAAAGCGAAUGCUGUCUUUCUCUCUGUCAGGGAUUUUACAGUCUGGACCAUGUAGAAGCAGAUGAGGGAGUGAGAGAGAGAGAGCUUAUGAAUGAGACCAUUCAAUUGUAACGGUGAUGCCUAGAUGUAAUCUUUAUGUUAAUAAAGAUUAAAUAAGAAGAAUCUCAGGCAGCAGAGUUUCAGUGGCAGGUAGUUCCAGUCAGAACAUCUGUCCACUUACCAGGGUCCCAGGUGGGGCACUUGGUAGCAGCUAAGUCCCCAGACUUGGCCAGGAGCAGGGAAGAGUGACUCGCGAUCAGUAACCUGAACAGAGCCCAGCCUCCCAAAGGGAUUGAGGCGUCCUAAGUGAAACUGGGGAGAGCUUGAAAAUGGAGAGCGAGGCGGAGACGCGGUAAGCAGUGCAGCUCAGCCCCAUGGCAGUAGGAAGGAGGAGGACACGGGUUUGGGGGAGCCACGCAUGAACACAGGAGCUUCCCUCAGUGGUUCUGGGUGUCGUGUCUGAAUUGGUACGAGAGACCUGAGGAAACAGUUCAGAACGGCGUCGUCCCUGGGUGAGUUUAGAAGCAGCACGAGCUUGUGUGCGAACCCCUGCCUCAGGUUCCAGAGCAGAAAAGCGCGGAGCCUGGGCACUGCGCCAGGAGGCCGGGAACUCGCAGAGCGUGCCUGUCCCUCGCUGCUGUCUGUGCCUGUGUGGGCUUGGCAAUUCUCUGUCAGACCAGAAGCCUUUCUCUGUAUUUUAGAUAAAAGAUGUAAAGAUGGGGGAAACAACAUUCCAGGUGGUAACGGCAGCUGAGAAUUUAAGGUCUGGAGUAUAGAAAUUGUUUUUGGAAACAGAUUCACGUCACAUGGUCAAUAGUAAUUUAUUGAAAUCAGCUUUUAAGAUGAUUGUGGGCUUGAUGUAUUGGAUAUAUUAUAUUAACUUAUUUUCUUCCCUUCCUUUCCAUUGUAAUAUGGAUGGUAUUAGUUUUUUUUUUUUUUUUUACAAUAAUCCUUUAGAGAGAAAAUUAGGAGAGUUGGGAAUCUUGCAACAUUUUCAGUUUUCAGUGACUGGGACAGAUGGCGAUGUUAGCACAGGCCAAGCCCGGAUACCUUAUUUUUUGCCCUACUCACACACUUUGCUUCCUAUAUAGAGGGCACACAUUCUCCCCUAGAAAUGGGGCAUGUUGUAUGAAAAUAAAAAUAAUUUUCAAAAGAUGAUCUUUUUCAGUGGAAAAUAAAACAGCUGGAGUAUCAGUGUAUGCUUCCUAGUCUCCUAAUCUUAACUCUCUCAUUGAAGUGAGAAAGCUGAGGGAAGAGAAAAGAUGUGUCCUUUUUACAUGGGCAGAUCUUUCCUACUGAUGGAAAAUGAGAGAAAGCAGAAAGCCAGAACAUGUCUUCUGGGAAAGCCUUGAACUCAGGAGACGUGUAGCACCCCGGAAGCUCCUGAGAAGUAAAGAUAAAAGAGAGGAGUUGAUAACAGGCGACGAAAUAGUUACAUGUGUGAAAAGGAAUUGCCUUUGAGAUUUGUAAAAGUCACAUUCCUAAGAAUUUUGAGACUUCUUUUUCUAAUGAAUGAGUUUGACUUUUAAAACAGCCAUUGGCAUAUACACACACACACACACACACACACAUACAUACAUGAACACACAUACAUGUUGAUUAUUGCUUCUGUUUCCAUUUUGUAUUAGAAAUCCCAGCAGAGAAGCAGUCUGUCGCUUAUGACAACGUGCCCUGUCUCAGAUCGCCUCUACUAACAGCUUUCACAUUUUCCAACAAGUGCAUCCCGGAGCCGGGAGCGCCCAGUGUCCAGACCACUGACGCUUGGGGCAGGUGGGCCGCAGCUGCGUGAGACAUGAAGAUCACAGCUGUCGUAGGCGGGCUCCUCCAAGUCACCAGUUCCGGCUGUGAUGCUCUGAGUUACGAUGCGUCUGAACACAUGCCGUCCAGGGACUUGCUGUGACUCGGAGAGCGUGCUUAUGGGGGAAGGCGAUCUCCCUCGGCCCUCCUCGGAUAUGUCAAACGGAGAGGGCCGCGCGGAGCUGACGCCCAGGCGACCCCACAGGUGCGCCCCCGCGGCCGCGCCGCUGCAGGACCGGGGUCACCUGCGUGCUGGGCAGCCUUGCGUGUGCCCCGCCCACGUCACAGGUCCCUACUGCCAGCAGGACCAGAGGCACAGCGAAUGCGGAGACCUGGUGUCCGGAUCCUGGACCUUCUGCGGCUGCCGCCCCUGCAGGCGCGUCUUUGAGGCCCUGCACUGCCUCCCCAGCCAGACACCCGGCCGCUGCUGUAAGCGGAUCCGCCUCCUGGGCUCACAGUCCACACACGCAUGCAGUUGUUCCUUUAUAAUACAGAUCCAUAGAAAUCUGCCUGUGCCAGGAGACACAAGAAUGAGCAAUCUGGGUCAGUUCAUCCCUAGGGAAAGUCACAUUCGCUGUGAAUCACAGUUAUUUUUUUUUAAUAUCAGUAUUACCAUUAAAAAAUUUAUUCCUAAAUUUCCCACAUCUCAAUUACUGGGUUUCAACGUGAUGUCCAAAC